UUAGAGAUGCCAGAUUUUAUGGGGUCGAUUUAGGAUUGGUUUAUGGGUGUUGUUCCUCUCUAAU
Molecule: transfer RNA, 64 nt
Filed under: Brachydistomum sp. PakPr2
Lineage: Eukaryota; Metazoa; Platyhelminthes; Trematoda; Plagiorchiida; Dicrocoeliidae
Description: tRNA-Leu
Source: RNAcentral